UGGAACUUGCUUCUCUCUUAAGAUAGUUGCUGCUCAAAUAACCGACACCACCUCUCAUUGGCUUCCAUUCAAUCCAAUUUUACCAUCAAACUAAAGCUCAUUGUCUUUCUUUUGCUUCCUCAUGUUGGUUUUCUGAAAUCUUUCUUGAAACCUUACCAAAUCUCCUUUCUAACCUUGAAAAAUGGAGGUUUGAUCUCUUGAACCCACUUUCGGAUCGUCUUUCGAUUCUAGACAGCCUUCUCUCCACUAAGACUUUCC
This 258-nucleotide long non-coding RNA is filed under the name Gossypium raimondii (Peruvian cotton). RNAcentral's name for it is "long non-coding RNA (GRAI_LNC005697)". The record is from RNAcentral. Lineage: Eukaryota; Viridiplantae; Streptophyta; Magnoliopsida; Malvales; Malvaceae.